UCUAGCAGUACUGUCCUAAUACCCAAGGCUCCAACAAAUAAUUGUCCUGAAGAAAAGACAAUAACACUUGCUCCUCCUGUUUCACGAGUUGUGCCACCUCCUAAUAGUCAGGAUCAAGAAAUAAAUUCGGAUUCUGAAGAGGGUCAGUUAUCAUACAUAAAAUCUAGAGCUACAGGAUCCUCCACUACUUACCGUAGCUUGGCAGCUGGAAACAAAAGUGGGGAUGAGAAGAAGGGACAAUGAAAAAGACAAGAUGUGAUGAAACUGUAUAUUUUAAAACGCUGUAGCUGCUUUUUUGCUAUUAGUUAAUGCUUAGUUAGUGUGUGUAGUUAUAUAAUGCUGCUUUUGUUAUUAGAUCUAUAGUUACAGUAA
Molecule: long non-coding RNA, 372 nt
Organism: Amphimedon queenslandica
Lineage: Eukaryota; Metazoa; Porifera; Demospongiae; Haplosclerida; Niphatidae
Exons: 3
Source: RefSeq, a predicted model, not a curated record